Molecule: ribosomal RNA, 513 nt
Filed under: uncultured bacterium
Lineage: Bacteria
Description: partial 16S ribosomal RNA
Rfam family: Bacterial small subunit ribosomal RNA
Source: RNAcentral
GACGAACGCUGGCGGCGUGCCUAAUACAUGCAAGUUGAGCGCUGAAGGUUGGUACUUGUACCAACUGGAUGAGCAGCGAACGGGUGAGUAACGCGUGGGGAAUCUGCCUUUGAGCGGGGUACAACAUUUGGAAACGAAUGCUAAUACCGCAUAAAAACUUUAAACACAAGUUUUAAGUUUGAAAGAUGCAAUUGCAUCACUCAAAGAUGAUCCCGCGUUGUAUUAGCUAGUUGGUGAGGUAAAGGCUAACCAAGGCGAUGAUACAUAGCCGACCUGAGAGGGUGAUCGGCCACAUUGGGAAUGAGACACGGCCCAAACUCCCACGGGAGGCAGCAGUAGGGAAGCUUCGGCAAUGGACGAAAGUCUGACCGAGCAACGCCGCGUGAGUGAAGAAGGUUUUCGGAUCGUAAAACUCUGUUGGUAGAGAAGAACGUUGGUGAGAGUGGAAAGCUCAUCAAGUGACGGUAACUACCCAGAAAGGGACGGCUAACUACGUGCCAGCCGCCGCCGUAA